Molecule: long non-coding RNA, 1172 nt
Filed under: Anser cygnoides (Swan goose)
Lineage: Eukaryota; Metazoa; Chordata; Aves; Anseriformes; Anatidae
Description: lncRNA (ENSACDG00005016800.1)
Source: RNAcentral
GUGAAAGAGUUUUUAUUCCCAGUCAGUGUAUCAUCAAUAUUUGAGUGAGUGCUUGAAGAAACAGGGUUGCUGUUACAGCUCAGCUCCUGCUUCAGGCACUUUGAAAUCUCAGGCUGCAUCAGCUACAUCCAGGUUUUGAUUUAAUUCAAGGUUUGCUGUACAGCUUUAUGAGCUUUAUUUAUCAGAUUGGAGCUGAGACUACAGACAGUGAUUCAGGAACUGUUCUGCUGUUUCUGUCCUGAUUUCUCUCUUUCUAAAAAUGCUCAGCUAUUUCUUUGUGCUCCUGCAUGGGGAGAGCUGAUUAUUUGGUCUGAAAGAUGGGCACUGGCAUUCUUGGAUCAAUUCUUCCUUUCCCACAGCUUUUCAAGGAUUCAUAUCUCCUUCUUGCCCCAGUCACCUGCACGUAAAAUGUUGAUAGUAUCUCUUUCCUGGAAGAACAGUACAAGCAUACUGGAAUCCUGGGCUGGAAGGGACUGGAGACAGACAAGCUGGUUGUGGGCUGGAUUUGGAUUUCCUGUAGCCAUCUCAGUAUUGAUGAGGGAUUUGCUAAGUCUGUUGUAUUUUAUCUGUUUAUUAACCUGAAAUGGAUCUCUCAAGUGCUUGUCCUGAUUCCCAUUGGACCCAUGUGGACUUCUGACUUCUUCAGUCCAUGAUGCCCUUUGCUGAGAGGUGACAAGCAGCAAACAGGCUAAAGGAAGAGUAACCAGAAUGCUGAGGAACUACUGGUCUGAAGGGGAGUUGUUGAUACAGAAUAGCCUUGAAAUGGAAGCUAUUCAAUGUUCAAAAUUGCAUGGUUAUGUGCAUGAGAAAUGAGGAAAAAGUUCAGCUCCAGCUAGGAGCUCACUGAGGAAAGUGAGAGAGAUGGAGAAAAACCCAGGGUCUAUCAGCGACCUUCAGGAUAACUGAGCAGACAUGAAAAGAUAAAUGUCAUCCACUGUGACAUGUUAGAAAAAUAUUUGUAGCAGAGAAUAGGGACAUUUUUGUGCUUUAAGGCAUGGUGCGAUCUGGCUUGGAAGAUUGUCAACAUUUCCCAUCACACUCUGAAGGCUGUAUUCAAACUGGGUCAUGUCCAGAGAAGGGUUACUUAUGAUCAAAUCAUGGAGAGCCUAUCUAAUGCAAAGUGAUUAAAGAAAUGGGAUGAUAUAACUUUAAACACAGUCUGGAUAAAUGCU